RNAcentral lists this ribosomal RNA (304 nucleotides) under uncultured bacterium. RNAcentral's name for it is "partial 16S ribosomal RNA". It matches the Rfam family "Bacterial small subunit ribosomal RNA", at positions 509 to 807 of the family's 1533-position model. The record is from RNAcentral.
CAGCAGUCGCCGCGGGAAUACGAAGGGGGCUAGCGUUGUUCGGAUUUACUGGGCGUAAAGCGCACGUAGGCGGACUUUUAAGUCAGGGGUGAAAUCCCGGGGCUCAACCCCGGAACUGCCUUUGAUACUGGAAGUCUUGAGUAUGGUAGAGGUGAGUGGAAUUCCGAGUGUAGAGGUAAAAUUCGUAGAUAUUCGGAGGAACACCAGUGGCGAAGGCGGCUCACUGGACCAUUACUGACGCUGAGGUGCGAAAGCGUGGGGAGCAAACAGGAUUAGAUACCCCGGUAGUCCCUGUCUCUUAUAC